AUGCGCCGCCUACUCCGGCCGGCGAAAGCGGCGGCCUCCGUGGCCGCCGGGGCCGCGGUACUGGCGUCGCUCGGCGAGGUCGCGUACGCGGAUAGCGUCUUCUCCUUCCGCCGCCAGCCCGCCGCCCCUCCUCCUCCACCUCCAGAUGCCCCCGCCCCCGCCGCCGCCUCGUCCGGCUCCAGCGGGUUCGACCCCGAGGAGCUGGAGCGCGGGGCCCGCGCGCUGCGGCAGAUCAAUGGCUCCCGGUACGCCAAGCUGCUGUUUGGGCUGAUGCAGAGCCAGGAGGAGACGCGCCUCGCGGAGAUGGCUGCGGAGAAGGUCCGCCACGAUAUCUACUGGAAAGUCAAGGAAAUCGAGGCGAAGCGGAAAAUGGGUGAAGAAUAUAGAGAAAAUUUGAAACAGCAAUCACAAAUUGAGGCACAAAGGUUACGCUACGAGGAUGAGUUAGCUAAGAAAAGAAAGCAGGAAGAGCGUGAAGCUGAAAGACGACGGGAUGCUGAACUUGUAAGGAUGCAAGAGAUUGGUGCCUUAAAAAGAGAACAAGCUAGGCGUGCCACAGAACAGAAGAUUUUAGAGCAAGAGCUACAGACUCUGAAAGAAAGGGCUAAAAAUGAUCGUGAGACAAACAAAGAGAAUGCUAUUUCUAAUGCUAAAGCUAAAGCUCAUGAAGCAAAGCUGACAGAAGAUUAUGAAAGAAGAAUGCUUGUGGAACUCAUGAAUGGCGAAAAAGAGAAGUGGCUUGCUGCAAUAAAUACCACCUUUCAACAUAUAGAAGGUGGGUUAAGAACAUUAUUGACUGAUAGGAGUAAGCUAGUAAUGGGUAUUGGAGGAGUCACUGCACUAGCUGCUGGAGUUUACACUACUAGGGAAGGAGCCAGGGUUACAUGGGGUUACGUCAAUAGAAUUUUGGGUCAGCCUUCACUGAUUCGUGAAUCAUCAAUGCGAAAGUUUCCAUUGCCAGGUCUUAAGGCUCUUAAACCUAGCUCUGCAUCUCUGUCGGGAGGUGCGGGCUUUGAGAAUGUUAUUCUUCACCCUUCACUCAAACGGAGGAUUGAACAUCUUGCACGAGCAACUGCAAAUACGAAAUCUCAUGAUGCGCCAUUCCGCAAUAUGUUGUUCUAUGGACAUCCUGGAACUGGCAAGACUUUAGUAGCCAGGGAAAUGGCUCGCAAAUCUGGCCUUGAUUAUGCAAUGAUGACAGGGGGAGAUGUUGCACCAUUAGGAUCAGAGGCUGUUACCAAGAUCCAUGAAAUCUUCGACUGGGCUAAGAAGUCCCAAAAAGGAAUGCUUCUUUUCAUUGAUGAGGCUGAUGCAUUCUUGUGCGAGCGUAACAGUACCCAUAUGAGUGAAGCCCAGCGGAGUGCUCUCAAUGCACUAUUAUUUCGAACUGGUGACCAAUCAAGGGACAUCGUUCUUGUCCUUGCAACCAACCGACCGGGUGAUCUUGAUGCUGCUAUUACUGACCGAAUUGAUGAAGUUAUCGAGUUUCCCCUACCUGGGGAAGAGGAGCGGUUUCAGCUGCUCAAGUUAUACUUGAACAACUACAUGCCCAAGGAAGAUGACAAGCGUUCUCCUUGGAGCACACUGCUGAAGAAGCAGCCGAAGAAGAUACACGUACGGGACAUAAGUGAUGAUCUCCUGAGGGAUGCUGCGCGCAAGAUUGAUGGCUUCUCCGGCAGAGAGAUUGCGAAGCUGAUGGCCAGUGUGCAGGCUGCUGUCUACGGGAGUCCUGACUGCAUAUUGAAUCCGCAGCUGUUCCGCGAGGUGGUUGAGUACAAGAUCGGCGAGCACCAGCAGCGCAUGAAGCUUGCUUCGGAGGCUGCAGCUUGA
This 1830-nucleotide ribosomal RNA is filed under the name Triticum aestivum (bread wheat). RNAcentral's name for it is "partial small subunit ribosomal RNA". Lineage: Eukaryota; Viridiplantae; Streptophyta; Magnoliopsida; Poales; Poaceae. The record is from RNAcentral.